This 278-nucleotide ribosomal RNA is filed under the name uncultured bacterium. Its description in RNAcentral is "partial 16S ribosomal RNA". It matches the Rfam family "Bacterial small subunit ribosomal RNA", at positions 333 to 628 of the family's 1533-position model. The record is from RNAcentral.
UGCUACCUACGGGGGGCAGCAGUGGGGGAUAUUGCACAAUGGGGGGAACCCUGAUGCAGCGACGCCGCGUGGGUGAAGGAGCGUUUCGGCGCGUAAAGCCCUAUCGGCAGGGAAGAAGAUGACGGUACCUGACCAAGAAGCCCCGGCUAACUACGUGCCAGCAGCCGCGGUAAUACGUAGGGGGCAAGCGUUAUCCGGCUUUACUGGGGGUAAAGGGGGCGCAGACGGCAAUGCAAGCCAGGCGUGAAAGCCCGGGGCCCAACCCCCGGACUGCUCUU